UACGUAGGGUGCAAGCGUUAAUCGGAAUUACUGGGCGUAAAGCGUGCGCAGGCGGUUCGGAAAGAAAGAUGUGAAAUCCCAGAGCUUAACUUUGGAACUGCAUUUUUAACUCUCGAACUAGAGUAUGUCAGAGGGGGGUAGAAUUCCACGUGUAGCAGUGAAAUGCGUAGAGAUGUGGAGGAAUACCGAUGGCGAAGGCAGCCCCCUGGGAUAAUACUGACGCUCAUGCACGAAAGCGUGGGGAGCAAACAGGAUUAGAUACCCUGGUAGUCCACGCCCUAAACGAUGUCAACUAGCUGUUGGGGCCUUCGGGCCUUAGUAGCGCAGCUAACGCGUGAAGUUGACCGCCUGGGGAGUACGGUCGCAAGAUUAAA
This 374-nucleotide ribosomal RNA is filed under the name uncultured bacterium. Its description in RNAcentral is "bacterial SSU rRNA". It matches the Rfam family "Bacterial small subunit ribosomal RNA", at positions 524 to 898 of the family's 1533-position model. The record is from RNAcentral.